This 701-nucleotide ribosomal RNA is filed under the name uncultured archaeon. RNAcentral's name for it is "bacterial SSU rRNA". It matches the Rfam family "Archaeal small subunit ribosomal RNA", at positions 164 to 868 of the family's 1478-position model. The record is from RNAcentral.
CGCUUUCUGGAAAGAUCCGGUGUCCAAAGCUUCGGCGCCCGAGGAUGGGGCUGCGGCCGAUUAGGUUGUUGGCGGGGUAACAGCCCACCAAGCCGACGAUCGGUACGGGCAGUGAGAGCUGUAGCCCGGAGAUGGGGACUGAGACAAGGCCCCAGGCCCUACGGGGCGCAGCAGGCGCGAAACCUUCACAAUGCUCGAAAGAGUGAUGAGGGUACUCCGAGUGCCUAUGCUUUGCAUAGGCUUUUCCCCAGCGUAAAUAGUUGGGGGAAUAAGGGCUGGGCAAGACCGGUGCCAGCCGCCGCGGUAACACCGGCAGCCCAAGUGGUGACCGUUUUUAUUGGGCCUAAAGCGUCCGUAGCCGGAUAGGCAAGUCUUUGGGUAAAUCCUACGUCUCAAGCGUGGGAAUUCUAAAGAUACUACCUGUCUUGAGGCCGGUAGAGGCUGGAGGUACUUCUGGGGUAGGGGUAAAAUCCUAUAAUCCCGGGGGGACCACCGAUGGCGAAGGCAUCCAGCUGGAACGGGCCUGACGGUGAGGGACGAAACCCAGGGGAGCGAGCCGGAUUAGAUACCCGGGUAGUCCUGGGUGUAAAUGAUGUGGGCUUGGUGUGAGGGCAUCGACGAGGUGCCCCUGUGCCGUAGGGAAGCCGUUAAGCCCACCGCCUGGGGAGUACGGUCGCAAGGCUGAAACUUAAAGGAAUUGG